ACUAAUACAUACGUAGCUGAUGAUGUAACUAAUACAAACGUUGCUGAUGAUGUAACUAAUACAUACGUUGCUG
Pangasianodon gigas (Mekong giant catfish) is the source of this 73-nucleotide non-coding RNA. Lineage: Eukaryota; Metazoa; Chordata; Actinopteri; Siluriformes; Pangasiidae. The record is from the annotation of a GenBank genome assembly.